AAUGAUUUAAACUAGUGCAAAGAUAGAAGAUGAUGCAAGAAUAAAUGGAAACACAAGCACAACACAAACACAACAAUAUAUAGUGGUUCGGUGCUCUCCUUAGCACCUACGUCCACUCUCCAAGCGUCCCCUUGGGAAUUCACUAUAAUCUCGCGGAUUACAGUUGGAUUGUUUUUCGGGCUCACAAUCCAAAAAUCUUGUUGGUUUUACGGGCUCACCAACGAACCUAUACACUUUGGUUUUCCGGGUUCACCAAAAACCUUUGUUGGUUUUACGGGCUCACCAACGAACCUAUACACUUUG
This 303-nucleotide long non-coding RNA is filed under the name Phoenix dactylifera (date palm). RNAcentral describes it as "long non-coding RNA (PDAC_LNC022138)". Lineage: Eukaryota; Viridiplantae; Streptophyta; Magnoliopsida; Arecales; Arecaceae. The record is from RNAcentral.